AUUCAGAGAGAAACUUUACUCUAUAACGUUACAUGGAAGUAUCUGCGUGAUAAUUACAAAACGUUAAAGGUUCUUCCCCUUUUACGAUCAACUGAUGAGGUUGUCAUCCUUAACUAUGACACAGAUCCAUGUAAGAAAUUUUGUACCGUUGCUUUAAAACGGAGAAUCGAUGAUGAGAAUGAGAUACAGAGAAUUGCUGAUUCCAUUAUCUUGAAUUUCAUAUACAGAAGACAAACAUCAUUGGCAAAUUGGUAUAUUUUGGAGGACUUCAAGUAUGAUUGACACAACACUUUUUAUCAGAAAAAAUGUAUAUGUCAGUAUCUGGAGCCGAGUCUUCUUUCAGAUUCGUUUUUCGAAGAUUGAUGCUUAUUGUGAAACAAAAUGAACGCAUUUGUAAGGAACGCACGCGUGAACAAAAGGUGUCUUUAAACGUCCAAUUACUUUACAGUUCUGUAGUGAUAGGUAGUUAUAUCUUAACGUUUAAGAAUUUUCAGGAUUUCUUGAACUAAAUUAGGUGAAAUUGGAUGGAGCUAAAGGAUGGCCCUCAUUUGUUUAUCUCGUUAAUUUGUUAUUUAUUUGCAUCAGCUGUGUCAUUAUUGUACAUUAAACCUAAAAACUUAAAUUAAUUCAUCUAACACGCGUGUUUGCCUGCCUUACACAAAGUAACAGGAUUUGUAAACAUUGAAUCAUGUUGUUCAAAUUGAAUUAUAUUAAUUAUAUGCAAAUUAAA
This is a long non-coding RNA of Magallana angulata, 730 nucleotides long. RefSeq lists it as uncharacterized. Lineage: Eukaryota; Metazoa; Mollusca; Bivalvia; Ostreida; Ostreidae. The record is from RefSeq and is a predicted model, not a curated record. The transcript has 4 exons.